RNAcentral lists this long non-coding RNA (1686 nucleotides) under Panax ginseng (ginseng). RNAcentral's name for it is "long non-coding RNA (PGIN_LNC007752)". The record is from RNAcentral. Lineage: Eukaryota; Viridiplantae; Streptophyta; Magnoliopsida; Apiales; Araliaceae.
GAGUUUCAAAUUCGUGGUCGUUACAUCCCUCCCCCCUUAUAAAAAUUCCGUCCUCGGAAUUGUAAAAAUAAGGUUACUCAAAUAAAAACGGAUAAUUCGCUCUCAUUUUCUCUUCUAGCUCCCACGUAGCUUCUUCUACGACGUGAUUCCUCCAGAGAAUCUGUGGCAGCCCCGAAUCCGGGUCCCGAAUCGCCGCGGAUCCGGUUCGCUAUUUCUACAACUGUUGCGGAAGAUAUAAACAUAAAUUGUUUAUACAUUACAUUACACACUAUUCCCCAAGGUCGAGUAACCUUUACUUAUACACAAUUCAUAAGCUAUCUAACAGAUAACAUAUUAUGCACCUAUACUAUUACAAACUAGCCGCACAAUUUAUCCCAAGUUGUACUUGGCAUUACCCUUUUCCUGUAUCUGGCCGUAUUCGCCUUAUCGGCAAUGUUUUAUCAUGAUAUAGCAAAGGUGAGCAUGAAAGUUGCCCAGCAAGUUUAAAAAAAACAAGGUAAAGAUAUAUCAUGAUUGAAAGAGUUUGAAUAAUAAGCUGGCUAUCCUUCACAAUGUAGUUGUGAAUUAGCAUGAACAAAAUUUCAAAGCUGAAUGAACAUUGAAAAUGAACAUAACAAUUAUAUCUGAACUGACUGGUAAUGAAGGUGAUCAGCCUUUCAUACCUGAUGAAUACAUGCAAUAUGUACAGAGUAUAAUUCAUAAGCAUAUCUGUCUGAAACCACUCUUAAAAGAGUUUAAGUAAAAAGAACUUGAGAAACUUGCCUGAACCGUUGAUUACCGUAACGCAAUAUAAUACGCUUCUCCUGAAGACCUAAUAUUAAUAAUAUAGAUCUCCAAUAUUAGAAUAAUAUCAUCACCGUUAUAAAAUAACUUAAACACAUUUCCACAUACUCCUAUCAGUCUAUAUAGCAUAUAAAACCUAUAAUAGAUCUUUCGGUUAGUCAUAACAUAUAGUUAAGUAUUAGACAUUAGUUUUAAGUCUUAAUAUUAUUAUUAUACUUUGAUAUUCUUUUAAUCACAUCAUAACUUAUACUUAUAAGUUAUUCAUUUUUAUAUGUUAUCCUAGUAAAUUAGAUAACAUCUUAGUAAACCGCAAUACAAUGUCAGUAAAACGGAUUUUAUUUCAGUAUCCCGAAAUCACUAUUCUUUUUCACGAAAAAUACCAAAUCGACUUAUUAUUUUUUUAUCCUUUGGUCAAACAUAUAUACAUGUAUUUCAUACAUAAAAAAUAUUUUUCCGUAAUUUUUCAAUUUCUUUUACUAAUUUUCAAAAAUCAUAAUUAGUGCGUGACUUAAGAAAAUUAGCUACCUUGUGCUUAACUCCAGAGAUGCCCAUCUUUUGACAUAACCUUAUAUAUGUUAACGUAAUGCUCCAUGUUAAAUUUCGCGGCAAUCGGAGUUGUAGAACUCCGGUUAUAGAGAUUUCCGUCGGAAAAUCAUAAAAAUUGAAAUGGUCAUAACUUGGUCGUUUUAAGCCGGAAUUAGCUCAUUUUUGGACACGAGCUACAUAUUACCAUAUAUUUUCAUUUCCCAAAAGCCUGUAAUUUUUCUCAUUAACUAAAUGUCCAAAACAGCCCUCGGAAAAUUUUGGCCAGAAACUUUUUGCACUUUGGCAGUUUUGGAGUCCUUCACCAAAACUUAAAUAAAACGAAAUCUGUAACUCCGAUUAAUGAUCCGUCAAUUUUGU